GGGGACCCGCAAGCGGUGGAUGAUGUGGAUUAAUUCGAUGCAACGCGAAAAACCUUACCUACCCUUGACAUGUCACUAACGAAGUAGAGAUACAUUAGGUGCCCGUAAGGGAAAGUGAACACAGGUGCUGCAUGGCUGUCGUCAGCUCGUGUCGUGAGAUGUUGGGUUAAGUCCCGCAACGAGCGCAACCCUUGUCUUUAGUUGCUACGCAAGAGCACUCUAAAGAGACUGCCGGUGACAAACCGGAGGAAGGUGGGGAUGACGUCAAGUCCUCAUGGCCCUUAUGGGUAGGGCUUCACACGUCAUACAAUGGUGCAUACAGAGGGCUGCCAACCCGCGAGGGGGAGCUAAUCUCAGAAAAUGCAUCGUAGUCCGGAUCGUAGUCUGCAACUCGACUACGUGAAGCUGGAAUCGCUAGUAAUCGCGGAUCAGAAUGUCGCGGUGAAUACGUUCCCGGGUCUUGUACACACC
Molecule: ribosomal RNA, 471 nt
Filed under: uncultured bacterium
Lineage: Bacteria
Description: bacterial SSU rRNA
Rfam family: Bacterial small subunit ribosomal RNA
Source: RNAcentral